GACGAACGCUGGCGGCGUGCUUAACACAUGCAAGUCGAACGGAAAGGCCCUGCUUUUGUGGGGUGCUCGAGUGGCGAACGGGUGAGUAACACGUGAGUAACCUGCCCUUGACUUUGGGAUAACUUCAGGAAACUGGGGCUAAUACCGGAUAGGAGCUCCUGCUGCAUGGUGGGGGUUGGAAAGUUUCGGCGGUUGGGGAUGGACUCGCGGCUUAUCAGCUUGUUGGUGGGGUAGUGGCUUACCAAGGCUUUGACGGGUAGCCGGCCUGAGAGGGUGACCGGCCACAUGGGGACUGAGAUAGGGCCCAGUCUCCUACGGGAGGCAGCAGUGGGGAAUAUUGCACAAUGGGCGGAAGCCUGAUGCAGAAACGCCGCGUGCGGGAUGACGGCCUUCGGGUUGUAAACCGCUUGCGCCUGUGACGAAGCGUGAGUGACGGUAAUGGGUAAAGAAGCACCGGCUAACUACGUG
This 468-nucleotide ribosomal RNA is filed under the name uncultured bacterium. RNAcentral describes it as "partial 16S ribosomal RNA". It matches the Rfam family "Bacterial small subunit ribosomal RNA", at positions 28 to 507 of the family's 1533-position model. The record is from RNAcentral.